This is a long non-coding RNA of Dromiciops gliroides (monito del monte), 312 nucleotides long. RefSeq lists it as uncharacterized. The record is from RefSeq and is a predicted model, not a curated record. Lineage: Eukaryota; Metazoa; Chordata; Mammalia; Microbiotheria; Microbiotheriidae. The transcript has 3 exons.
AUGCUCUGUUCCAUAUUCAUCCUCCAUGGCUUCUGCAAAAUAGUGAGAAGGCAAGAAAUGAAGUCAUCCAAGACAAAUUUUGGCAUUAGCUGUGUUCCAAAUCAAAGAAAGAAGAAAAAGAAAGAGAAAAAAAAGAGAUUAUGCUUCAAUCUAUACUCUGAGUCCAUUAGUUCUCUAUUUCAUCAUAAAUCCUUUGGAAUUGUGAUGUAUGCUGGCCUCUGAUCCAUUUCCAGUACCUUGGCACUUGAAACAGUUGUCUGUAUUGAGCUAUUCCACUGGCUUAGAAAACUGGGAUAUCUAUCUGUCAUCCAG